UGAAUUACUCAUCCGUCUUGUAUGGUGAUGCUGGACCAAAGAAAAGGAAGAAACGAAAAGGGAGAAGCUGACAUUGGAUAGCCAGAGUAUGGAGAAAGAGGUGGUUGGUGGAGCCGCCGCCUCCGUAUGAGCGCCUUGAGAUCCGCACCAGGCUCCUCCAUGACAAAAAAAUUCUGCCAACGAGAUGGGGCGAGUUGGAACUCAAUCGGGAG
RNAcentral lists this long non-coding RNA (212 nucleotides) under Brachypodium distachyon (stiff brome). RNAcentral describes it as "long non-coding RNA (BDIS_LNC003656)". The record is from RNAcentral. Lineage: Eukaryota; Viridiplantae; Streptophyta; Magnoliopsida; Poales; Poaceae.